RNAcentral lists this ribosomal RNA (368 nucleotides) under uncultured organism. RNAcentral's name for it is "bacterial SSU rRNA". It matches the Rfam family "Bacterial small subunit ribosomal RNA", at positions 526 to 896 of the family's 1533-position model. The record is from RNAcentral.
CGUAGGUGGCAAGCGUUGUCCGGAUUAUUGGGUUUAAAGGGUGCGUAGGCGGUUUUCUAAGUCAGCAGUGAAAUACGGCAGCUCAACUGUCGAGGUGCUGUUGAUACUGGGGAACUUGAGUACUGAUGAGGUAGGCGGAAUGGACGGUGUAGCGGUGAAAUGCUUAGAGAUCGUCCAGAACACCGAUAGCGAAGGCAGCUUACUAAGGAGUAACUGACGCUGAGGCACGAAAGUGUGGGGGAUCAAACAGGAUUAGAUACCCUGGUAGUCCACACUGUAAACGAUGAUUACUCGAUGUGUGCGAUAUACGGCACGCGUCUUAGCAAAAGCGAUAAGUAAUCCACCUGGGGAGUACGCCGGCAACGGUG